UACGUAGGGUGCAAGCGUUAAUCGGAAUUACUGGGCGUAAAGCGUGCGCAGGCGGCUUUGCAAGACAGAUGUGAAAUCCCCGGGCUUAACCUGGGAACUGCAUUUGUGACUGCAUGGCUGGAGUGCGGCAGAGGGGGAUGGAAUUCCGCGUGUAGCAGUGAAAUGCGUAGAUAUGCGGAGGAACACCGAUGGCGAAGGCAGUCCCCUGGGCCUGCACUGACGCUCAUGCACGAAAGCGUGGGGAGCAAAAGGG
RNAcentral lists this ribosomal RNA (253 nucleotides) under uncultured bacterium. Its description in RNAcentral is "partial 16S ribosomal RNA". It matches the Rfam family "Bacterial small subunit ribosomal RNA", at positions 524 to 776 of the family's 1533-position model. The record is from RNAcentral.